Molecule: small nucleolar RNA, 118 nt
Filed under: Nannospalax galili (Upper Galilee mountains blind mole rat)
Lineage: Eukaryota; Metazoa; Chordata; Mammalia; Rodentia; Spalacidae
Source: RNAcentral
UUGGCCAUAUUGAAGCUGUUGGUUUCAAGCAGGUGUCUAAAGAAAUGUUCUUCUGUGGUCUGUUGACCAUUUCAGACAUUUGAAACUGCAAUGGUCAAUUCAUUAUUCAGAAACACGU